UACGUAGGUGGCAAGCGUUGUCCGGAUUUACUGGGCGUAAAGCGCGCGCAGGCGGAUUGGUCAGUCCGGGGUGAAAUCUCACGGCUCAACUGUGAGCGGUCCCCGGAUACUGCCAGUCUCGAGGUGUCUAGAGGAGAGCGGAAUUCCCGGUGUAGUGGUGGAAUGCGUAGAUAUCAGGAGGAACACCGGUGGCGAAAGCGGCUCACUGGACCGUUACUGACGCUGAGGUGCGAAAGCUAGGGGAGCAAACGGG
This 253-nucleotide ribosomal RNA is filed under the name uncultured bacterium. RNAcentral's name for it is "partial 16S ribosomal RNA". It matches the Rfam family "Bacterial small subunit ribosomal RNA", at positions 524 to 776 of the family's 1533-position model. The record is from RNAcentral.